This 301-nucleotide ribosomal RNA is filed under the name uncultured bacterium. RNAcentral describes it as "partial 16S ribosomal RNA". It matches the Rfam family "Bacterial small subunit ribosomal RNA", at positions 509 to 807 of the family's 1533-position model. The record is from RNAcentral.
CAGUCGCCGCGGUAAUACAGAGGGUGCGAGCGUUAAUCGGAUUUACUGGGCGUAAAGCGUGCGUAGGCGGCUUCUUAAGUCGGAUGUGAAAUCCCUGAGCUUAACUUAGGAAUUGCAUUCGAUACUGGGAAGCUAGAGUAUGGGAGAGGAUGGUAGAAUUCCAGGUGUAGCGGUGAAAUGCGUAGAGAUCUGGAGGAAUACCGAUGGCGAAGGCAGCCAUCUGGCCUAAUACUGACACUGAGGCACGAAAGCGUGGGGAGCAAACAGGAUUAGAUACCCCCGUAGUCCCUGUCUCUUAUAC